This 670-nucleotide ribosomal RNA is filed under the name uncultured bacterium. Its description in RNAcentral is "bacterial SSU rRNA". The stretch from base 1 to 533 matches the Rfam family "Bacterial small subunit ribosomal RNA", at positions 338 to 873 of the family's 1533-position model. The record is from RNAcentral.
CCUACGGGAGACAGCAGUAAGGAAUAUUGGACAAUGGUCGCAAGACUGAUCCAGCCAUGCCGCGUGCAGGAUGACUGCCCUAUGGGUUGUAAACUGCUUUUGUACGGGAAUAAACCCCUCUACGUGUAGAAGGCUGAAUGUACCGUAAGAAUAAGGAUCGGCUAACUUCGUGCCAGCAGCCGCGGUAAGACGAAGGAUCCAAGCGUUAUCCGGAUUUAUUGGGUUUAAAGGGUGCGUAGGCGGAUUGAUAAGUCAGUGGUGAAAGCCUGUUGCUUAACAACAGAACUGCCAUUGAUACUGUCAAUCUUGAAUAUGUUUGAUGUGGGCGGAAUAUGACAUGUAGCGGUGAAAUGCUUAGAUAUGUCAUAGAACACCGAUUGCGAAGGCAGCUCACAAAGCCAUUAUUGACGCUGAGGCACGAAAGCGUGGGGAUCAAACAGGAUUAGAUACCCUGGUAGUCCACGCUGUAAACUUUGAUCACUCNCUGUUGGUCGAGUACACUGUCGAGCGGCGUAAGUAACGGAAAGUACGUUAAGUUAGUAGUUCCGUUACCGUCGGGGAGGUUACGGAGUCGCGAGAGUUAGUUAACGUUACGAAGUUAGAAGUUAGGUUACGGACGUUGGAGGACGUUAGACCGACGGACGACGAACGAACGGGGAAGGUAAGGAAG